UUUUUUCUUAUCGAAACUGGAGUGGAGCCUUUAUAUUUUACAUCAUUUUUUCUUGUUCUGUUUCUGUUUUUCUGUUUUUAUAUUUUUUUCCUGCUUCUAUUUUUUUCCUACUUUUAUUUUUUGAUCAGUAUUUAGAAAAAUUAUAUUAAGUUAUAAUUUUAUUUUAUUUUAUUUCAGUUCUUUUUUCUUAAUUAAUUUUUUUUACUAUGCUUCGAUUAAGUUAAAAAACAUCAGAGCUGGAAAUGGAAGAGAAGUUAUAACUAAAUUAUCACUGUUUUGAAUUAAUAGCCUCUGUUUUUAGAAGUGCUUCUAUUGAAUGAAUAUAAGUAUAUAACCAUAUUUCACUUGAUAGUUCUUGAACUGUGAAUUAAAACCAAAAAAAGGUGUGAAUGGAAGAAUAUUUGAAUACGGGAAUGGAGCUUGAAUUAAGAAUGAGUGUGGAAAAGAGGGAGGACUUGUACAGGUGGGAGGAGUUAUGGCACAUAUUCAUUCUCAAGGGUCGGUUGUGUUCGGGUAACCAUCGCUGCUGGUGCUUUCGUUUCCCUAUUAGUUUAGCAAUAUGCUUAAUAUAGAAUAAAAUACCAGUUUUCUGUGUUGAUAAGAUAACGUUUUUUUUUUGUUCAAUCUAUGCAUCUAUGCUUAAUAUAGAAUAAAAUACAGUGCUUUGUGAUUCAGAAAAGCUAUUGUUAUAUGUAAUUACACAACUAAACAAUAACUUAAGAUAUUUCUUAUUCAUUGUGUUUAUGAAUUAUAUCUUAUAAUUUUUUUGUGUUGGGGUUUAGAUGGGUGUUAGUAAAUUAAAUUAAAUUAAAUUUUUUAGGGUUUGAAAAUGUGAAAGUAAUUAAUUCACUUUUAUAAUUUUUUUAUGUAUAAAAAACAAUACCCCCUAAAAUUCUUAGUUCUGCCCAAGGUUAUUAAAAACACGUUUUGACUCGUAAAAGCGUACGAUUUUACGAGUCAAAACAUAUAAAACAUGUGAAAUCAGGUUAAAAACCUGAAAACCAGUAAAAUUGAAUCAAACUCGGUCAAACUUGUACAAAAUCGGUCCAACUCGUUAAAAUCUGUAAAACCGACCGAUUGCACGAGUUUGCUUAAAAAAUUAAAAGUCUUCUGACUCUGCUCCCUGCUGACUCCACUCCAUCUCCUGAUUUCAUUGCGCCCGACACCGACACUCCACCCACCCUUUUCUCCUUUCCCUUUUCCCCUUUCCUGGUUUCCCCAAAUCUCAAAUUCUCAAAAUCUCAAGUCUCAGCCCUAACAAAUUAAUAUCAGCAUUCAGCACAUUCAGGAGCGUAGAAUCUCAAGUCUCGACUCUCCACUCACCAGCAGCGCAAAUAUAUAACCAGGGAUUGAGUCUUUAUCAAGAGCCAAAAGAAAAACAAAGGGCCUUGCUGGGAUGAGCAACGUGUCAAACUGUUGUUAAAGCAAAAGGAUUAAGAUUGGAAUUUUUUAUGGGUUGCCCAUUCCUCCUGACAAAGCAGUAGAUUUCAUAUUUACAAUCCAAGAAAAAGCCCACUCCAGGCAAAGUAUUUAUUUCUCGAGACCAAUAGGCAAAAGCAAAAAAAAAAAAAAAAACACUAACAACAGCUAGGAAGUCAAAAAAAUGGGGAAGAAGCAAAAACGCAACAGUGACAGUGACGAAGAUGAAAUAUUUUACCACCGCUACUCCUCCGCCACCACAUCAUCACAACACCCACCUUCCUCCACCAAACCCCACGGCGGAUCCGGCGGUUUAGCACCAUCAAAAUCAACCCUGUACGUAUCCAAUUUGGACUUCUCCCUUACAAACUCAGACCUCCACACACUCUUCUCCACCUUCGGCAAAGUAGCACGUGUAACUGUCUUAAAAGACCGAACAACACGGAAAUCGCGCGGUGUCGCAUUCAUCCAAUUCGUAUCUCGCAGCGACGCGGUCACCGCCGUUGAACAGAUGGACAAGAAGAUUCUCAAUGGGAGAACUCUGUCGGCGUCGAUUGCGGCAGAUAAUGGUAGAGCGACGGAGUUUAUUAAGAAGAGGGUUUAUAAGGAUAAGAGUAAGUGUUAUGAGUGUGGAGAAGAUGGACAUUUGAGUUAUGAGUGUCCGAGGAAUCGAUUGGGGAUUAGAGAGAGGCCUGUGGUGAAGAGAGGGAGGGGAGGCGGUGGUGGAGGAGGUGGCGGCGGCGGAAGGGGCGGGGGAGAUUGGGAGGAGGAGGAAGAAGAGGGCGAGUUUGAGGAGGAGAAGUGGGCUGCGGCGGUGGAUGGAGGGGUGGAGGAGAGGUUGUUGAAGGGGGGAGAGGUGGAGAAAAAGAAGGUGAAGGUUAAGAAAGCUAGUUACUUCAGUGAUGAGAGUGAUGAAGAGGAGUGAUUUCUGGGAUUCUUUUUGGAGUUACCAUGUUUUGGUGAGGGAGGGAAGGAGGUUAUAGCAUGUUAUUACUGAUACUGGAGAUUAUCUUCUUAGAGUUUAAAAAGAACACUGGCUAGUGUUAGUGAAAAACAGAGGAUUCAAUUUGAUCAUCUGUGAUUGAUAUGGCAUUUGUUGCGUCUUAGGUUUUUUUGUUAUGACUUGUGGAUGACAGUUGUGUUCUGUUUUUUUGAUGGAGGAGCAUCUUUAUGCUGGUUAGUGUUACUGAAACUAUUUUUGAGAUUGAUGUUCUUGGAUUGUGAGGGAAAUGCUGGUGAAUCAGCUGUGACAUUUGCUCAUCUGAUAUUCCAUGGAUAGAUGUUCAUUUUGAUAACAUUAGCUUCCAAGACAUUUAGCAAGCAGGGAGAAAAAGUUUCCCCCUGUUUUUGUGACUGAAUUGAUGGUUUCUGCUCUUUGCUUAGAGCUUUCUACCAACUUUCUUGUCUGGCGAGAGGUUGGGGGUGGUUCGUUCUUGCUGCAAAGUUAGAAGAGCUGAAGCCCAGAGAGGAAACCAAGAAAUAUGUACUUGUCACGUUAAACAUGAGAAUUGACUGUGAGAUAGAAGUAAAUUUGUUUUUUUACUCUUUUAUUUUUGUCAAGAAAUAUGUAUUUGUAACACAUGGAGUGCGAAGAUCAGUAUAAAGACUUCCUAGAUUUUUUCACCAGUGCCCACGACCUUUUGUUGCUUGUACAGAGCUUGAAAAUAUUUUAUAGCAAUUGCAGCUACUUGCAUGGUUCAGGAAAAUAUUCCUUUGGAAGUGAAGUAAAUAUGUAUCGUUUGUUGAGUCAUUAGCAUUUGCAUUUAGAGGAACAAACUUUGAAUCUUCGUCAUUUAACUCACUGGGAAUUCCUGCGUGGGACAAGCGAAGAACUUUCAUUCAAACGUUACUAUGAAGAUGUAAACCUGAACUGUGUUGGGCUUGUAUGAUAUGCACAAGAUGCCUUCGCAUAUUCGAGAUAUCAAUAAUCUUCUAUGAAGAUUUAAAGAGCUGGGAAGGUAUCUUGGGCUGGCCUUUGUAGUCAUUUAUCUGGGCUCUAAUAUGGGCUGUGUUCCUGGUGAGUGGGAGAUUAUUAUCCUACCAGGCUUUGUUGAGUUCGGCCUCUCUCAAAUAAACCCAAUUUACUUUUGAAAUAUCUACCGCAGAACUUGGCUGUCGUCAGCAUUGCACCCGUUUGUGCAACCUGUCUAGAGGAUUUGUAAUCUGGGCCACACAUAUACAGGGAGAGUUCAAAUGCUCUGAACCGUACAAACAUGCACACAGUAUUUGUAACUGCUUUUGAGCAUGCGAAUCAUGCUCUUGUGUGAAAAUUGUGAAGUUAGUUUGUCUUGUUCCUUUGGAGUUUAGAGAGUCUAUAAAUAUCCGGUGGUUGGUUCGAGACAAAGCCUGUGGUAAAGGCAAAGCCUGUUGAAGCCUCAAAGUCAAGAGUGUGUUGUGUGUGAAAAUUGGAGGGAACUAAAGAGAUGUCACUGUUUGUUUUGGUGCCGAUUUUUGUUUAGUUUCUUUUACUUGAUUCUUCUCCAACAUGCAACUAAACGAAUAUCAUGUCUUGGCCGAAUGUCAGAGGCGAUCGUUUUUCAGAUCAAUAGUCGUUAGCAUUCCGAGAGGAGCCACCUUGGCUGCAGCCAGAAUUGUGAAGAGUGUAUAUCUUGUCGAAGCUCAAAGGGAGAGUCUUGUGUUGAAUUUCUUCCAUCGGAGGGGAGAAUUGCAAAUUUACUUCCAGUUGGAGUCUUGUCGUUGAUCACACAUAUAGUUGAAUUCUGUAUGUCUGAUUUAUCAGCAAUAUUGAUACAGACAUGAUAUAUGAGAAUGUACUGUGAAAUAUGUAUCUGUAAUGCAUUGAAUAGAAAGAUCAGUAUAAACUUUUAGAUUUCAGUUUUGUGUGUAA
Populus trichocarpa (black cottonwood) is the source of this 4267-nucleotide RNA transcript. It is a transcript of the gene named U11/U12 small nuclear ribonucleoprotein 31 kDa protein, with no coding region annotated. The record is from RefSeq and is a predicted model, not a curated record. NCBI's taxonomy places the organism in Eukaryota, Viridiplantae, Streptophyta, Magnoliopsida, Malpighiales, Salicaceae. The transcript has 5 exons.